This 590-nucleotide ribosomal RNA is filed under the name Bacillus subtilis. RNAcentral describes it as "bacterial SSU rRNA". It matches the Rfam family "Bacterial small subunit ribosomal RNA", at positions 33 to 605 of the family's 1533-position model. The record is from RNAcentral. Lineage: Bacteria; Bacillati; Bacillota; Bacilli; Caryophanales; Bacillaceae.
CCGAAAGUGGCGCUGACUAUACAUGCAAGUCGAGCGGACAGAUGGGAGCUUGCUCCCUGAUGUUAGCGGCGGACGGGUGAGUAACACGUGGGUAACCUGCCUGUAAGACUGGGAUAACUCCGGGAAACCGGGGCUAAUACCGGAUGGUUGUUUGAACCGCAUGGUUCAAACAUAAAAGGUGGCUUCGGCUACCACUUACAGAUGGACCCGCGGCGCAUUAGCUAGUUGGUGAGGUAACGGCUCACCAAGGCAACGAUGCGUAGCCGACCUGAGAGGGUGAUCGGCCACACUGGGACUGAGACACGGCCCAGACUCCUACGGGAGGCAGCAGUAGGGAAUCUUCCGCAAUGGACGAAAGUCUGACGGAGCAACGCCGCGUGAGUGAUGAAGGUUUUCGGAUCGUAAAGCUCUGUUGUUAGGGAAGAACAAGUACCGUUCGAAUAGGGCGGUACCUUGACGGUACCUAACCAGAAAGCCACGGCUAACUACGUGCCAGCAGCCGCGGUAAUACGUAGGUGGCAAGCGUUGUCCGGAAUUAUUGGGCGUAAAGGGCUCGCAGGCGGUUUCUUAAGUCUGAUGUGAAAGCCCCC